CAACCGGGGAUUGCCUUAGUAACGGCGAGUGAAGCGGCAAAAGCUCAAAUUUGAAAUCUGGUACCUUCGGUGCCCGAGUUGUAAUUUGGAGAGGGCAACUUUGGGGCCGUUCCUUGUCUAUGUUCCUUGGAACAGGACGUCAUAGAGGGUGAGAAUCCCGUGUGGCGAGGAGUGCGGUUCUUUGUAAAGUGCCUUCGAAGAGUCGAGUUGUUUGGGAAUGCAGCUCUAAGUGGGUGGUAAAUUCCAUCUAAAGCUAAAUAUUGGCGAGAGACCGAUAGCGAACAAGUACAGUGAUGGAAAGAUGAAAAGAACUUUGAAAAGAGAGUGAAAAAGUACGUGAAAUUGUUGAAAGGGAAGGGCAUUUGAUCAGACAUGGUGUUUUGUGCCCUCUGCUCCUUGUGGGUAGGGGAAUCUCGCAUUUCACUGGGCCAGCAUCAGUUUUGGUGGCAGGAUAAAUCCAUAGGAAUGUAGCUUGCCUCGGUAAGUAUUAUAGCCUGUGGGAAUACUGCCAGCUGGGACUGAGGACUGCGACGUAAGUCAAGGAUGCUGGCAUAAUGGUUAUAUGCCGCCCGUCUUGAAACAACCGAACAA
This 591-nucleotide ribosomal RNA is filed under the name Saccharomyces cerevisiae (brewer's yeast). RNAcentral describes it as "eukaryotic LSU rRNA". It matches the Rfam family "Eukaryotic large subunit ribosomal RNA", at positions 66 to 669 of the family's 3401-position model. The record is from RNAcentral. Lineage: Eukaryota; Fungi; Ascomycota; Saccharomycetes; Saccharomycetales; Saccharomycetaceae.